This 3368-nucleotide ribosomal RNA is filed under the name Plasmodium vivax Brazil I. RNAcentral describes it as "eukaryotic LSU rRNA". It matches the Rfam family "Eukaryotic large subunit ribosomal RNA", at positions 1 to 2778 of the family's 3401-position model. Lineage: Eukaryota; Apicomplexa; Aconoidasida; Haemosporida; Plasmodiidae. The record is from RNAcentral.
UUCUGUUGUUAAAAUAGGAGAGCAAAUCCGCCGAAUUUAAGCAUAUAAUUAAGCGGAAGAAAAGAAAAUAACAAUGAUUCCUUUAGUAACGGCGAGUGAACAAGGAAUAGCUCAAGCGGAUAAUCUGUGUGUCUUUUCCUAUUUAAAGGUUUAGCGCAAAGAAUUGUCGUGUAUUAAAAGACUAUAGUAACCUUCUGGUAGCCGUAAAGAUAAGACAUAUGUUACGAAGCGAGGUGGAAUGCCUCCCCCGAAGAGGGUGAAAGGCCCGUAGUAAUCAUAGGGCUUAGUGUUAUCAGAUAACCUCUAUCAGUAAAGAGUCGUGUUCUUUGAGAUUGGAGCACAAAUGCGUGUGAUACAUUUCACAUAAAGCUAAAUAUGUGUAGGAGACCGAUAGCAAACAAGUACCGUGAGGGAAAGAUGAAAUAGUACUCAGGAAUGAGCAAUUAAAAAGUACCUGAAAUCGUUAAGGUGGAACGGAUUAAAAGAGAAAAAAAGUAUUGCAGUCAACAUAAGUUGUUGCAGCGACAGUUUAUGUCUAACUGCUUUAUUAAAAGAAACAUCAGUAAAAGGUUUUAGAUCUAUUCGGAUAAAGACUGUUGCUGAUUAGCAUUUAAUUUUACCUUCGGGAUAAAAUUAAUAGACUUUUCACAUUAUCCUUUUGUUAAAAAAGGAUAAAGGGUUUUUAUAGAAAUCACGAAACAAAAAUAAGUGAUAGAUAGUCCAUUUUACUGAGGUUAACACACAAAUGUGUAUUGCUUUGUAAUUUAUAUUCGCCAAGAAUAUAUUUUACAGCUUCGCGUUUUAAGUUGUUUCUAACGAAUACUCUUUUAACCCACUCGUCUUGAAACACGGACCAAGGAGUCUAGCAAAUGUGCGAGUGUAUAUGAUAUAUUAAACAUUUUCAGUACGUUACGACGUGCUUAUACGCAUAAUUAAUGUAAUAUAUUAUAUUUGUAGAACCAGCUGGAGGUUUCUAACUUCCAGUUGGCGCAUACAAUACCGGUAGGCAAAUACGCCUUAUUGAGUAUGAGCAUAUUUGGUAGGACCCGAGAGGCUUUGAACUAAGCGUGGUGAGAUUGAAGUCAGACGAAAGUCUGAUGGAGGAUCGAAUUGAUACUGACGUGCAAAUCGUUCAUUUCAGUCACGUUUAGGGGCGAAAGACUAAUCGAAAAGCCUAUUAGCUGGUUAUUUUCGAAAGAUCUCUCAGGAUCGCUGGAGUUGAUUAAUAUAAUUUUACCAGGUAGAGAUAAUGAUUAGAGGACUCAGGGAAUUGAAUUUCCUUGACCUAUUCUCAAACUCCCAAUGGGUAAAAAGGGUUUAAAUAGCUUAAUUUCUUUUGUAUUUAGCUCGAUAUAAAUAAAAUAACUCCAAGUGGGCCAUUUUUGGUAAGCAGAACUGGCGAUGAGGGAUGCUCCUAACGUCUGGAUAAGGUGCCUAAAUAUUCGCUCAUCAGAUCCCAUAAAAGGUGUUGGUUCAUUAUGACAGUAGGACGGUGGUCAUGGAAGUCGAAAUCCGCUAAGGAGUGUGUAACAACUUACCUACCGAAUGAACUAGCCCUGAAAAUGGAUGGCGCUAAAGCGAAUUACCGAUACCAGGCCAUAAAAGGAAAGGAAAAAGGGUGGUUUUACCACCUUUUCUUCUUUAUAAAUCUUUUAUGAGUAGAAAAUCGUGGGGUUUUGUGUCGAAGCGAAAUACGUGAGUUUUCGUGGAACAUAUCCCUAGUGCAGAUCUUGGUGGAAGUAGCAACUAUUCAAAUGAGAACUUUGAAGACUGAAGUGGAGAAGGGUUUCUUGUCAACUGUGUUUGUACAAGAGUUAGCCGCUCCUAAGAGACAGCUGAAAAGUGUUUAAGUUAGGGCAAUGUUGUAGGUUUUUUAACAUAUGACAUAAUCCCUGUUCUCAAAAGGGAAACAGGUUUAUAUUCCUGUGCCAAAACAAAUCUAUGGGUUCCUAAAAAUUUAAGAUGGCAACAUAUAGACAAAUGAACCUCUUUACAUAGGUUUUACCAUCGGGGUGCGUUUUCUUUGCACUUUACCUUUAUAGCAUACCUUGGAAUCAAUUUACUUGGAGAAGAGGUAUGUUGAAGUCAAUUCAGAUAUAUUGUUCAUAGGAACUUCGGUUCCUAUUUACAAUUAUCCGUUUUGUAGCAAUAGUAAUUCGUUUUUAUGAAUUAUUCGAUUUGGUAUAAACUAUCCUUGAAAAAAGGGGGGAACGACAAACCAAAGGCGGGAGAGCCGCUACAGACGAACCAGCAAUCGCAAGAUUGUUGGAUCGUUUGUAAACGCUCUUUAGUUUUUGGUAUGUAAAACUCUAAUUUGUUAAAAUGAGCGUACCAACAACCGCAUCAGGUCUCCAAGGUUAGUAACCUCUGGUUAAAUAGAAAAAAGUAAGUAAGGGAAGUCGGCAAAAUAGAUCCGUAACUUCGGGAAAAGGAUUGGCUCUGAGGACAUUAGAAUGGGAAGGAAUCGAAAAUAGUCGAAACAAGAGGCAUUGAGGUGCUUUACAUGUUCUCACGAACGUGCAUCGCAUUUCUCUAGCGCUCUGUUUCUUCUGUUCUCUUUUCCACCCCCCAUUCGCCGUCAUUAUGGUCUUUCGCUCCGGCGAUCGACGUACUUGACACCUAUAAUGUUAACUCAGAACUGAAACGGACAAGGGGAAUCCGACUGUUUAAUUAAAACAUAGCAUUGUGACAAGCCAUAACUGGUAUUAACACAAUGUGAUUUCUGCCCAGUGCUUUGAAUGUCAACUUGAUGAAAUUCAAUUAAGCGCAGGUAAACGGCGGGAGUAACUAUGACUCUCUUAAGGUAGCCAAAUGCCUCGUCAUCUAAUUAGUGACGCGCAUGAAUGGAUUAACGAGAUUCCCACUGUCCCUACUUGCUAUCUAGCGAAACCACAGCCAAGGGAACGGGCUUGGCUAAAUCAGCGGGGAAAGAAGACCCUGUUGAGCUUUACUCUAGUCUGGCUUUGUGAAACGACUUAAGAGGUGUAGCAUAAGUGGGAGUAGAGAUCGCAAGGUCUUUGCAACAGUGAAAUACCACUACUUUUAACGUUGUUUUACUAAUCCAUUUAUUGGAUAUGUAUGUAAAAAUUGCUCCUUCGGAAGAAGGGGUUAAUUUCUACAUAUUGUCGUAGAAUUUGUAGUUAGCUGAGCACGCAAGUGCGCAGUUAUCUAUGGUUCCGGUUCUUAUGGAGACAUAGUCAGGUGGGGAGUUUGACUGGGGCGGUACAUCUGUUAAAUAAUAACGCAGAUGUCCAAAGACAAGCUCAGAGAGAACAGAAAUCUCUUGUAGACUAAAAGGGGAAAAGCUUGUUUGAUUUUUACUUUCAGAAAAAGUAGAAAACGUGAAAGCGUGGCCUAUCGAUCCUUUA